Molecule: ribosomal RNA, 245 nt
Filed under: uncultured bacterium
Lineage: Bacteria
Description: partial 16S ribosomal RNA
Rfam family: Bacterial small subunit ribosomal RNA
Source: RNAcentral
UACGUAGGGGGCAAGCGUUGUCCGGAUUUACUGGGUGUAAAGGGCGCGUAGGCGGCUAUAUAAGUCAGUGGUGAAAUCCUGCGGCUUAACUGCAGAACUGCCAUUGAUACUGUAUAGCUUGAGUGCGGAAGAGAGAGACGGAAUUCCAGGUGUAGUGGUGAAAUACGUAGAUAUCUGGAAGAACAUCAGUUGCGAAGGCGGUCUCUUGGUCCGCUACUGACGCUGAGGCGCGAAAGCGUGGGUAG